This 241-nucleotide ribosomal RNA is filed under the name Bacillus sp. 152A_5R. RNAcentral's name for it is "partial 16S ribosomal RNA". It matches the Rfam family "Bacterial small subunit ribosomal RNA", at positions 130 to 357 of the family's 1533-position model. The record is from RNAcentral. Lineage: Bacteria; Bacillati; Bacillota; Bacilli; Caryophanales; Bacillaceae.
CUGUAAGACUGGGAUAACUCCGGGAAACCGGGGCUAAUACCGGAUAACUCAUUUCCUCGCAUGAGGAAAUGUUGAAAGGUGGCUUUUAGCUAUCACUUACAGAUGGACCCGCGGCGCAUUAGCUAGUUGGUGAGGUAACGGCUCACCAAGGCGACGAUGCGUAGCCGACCUGAGAGGGUGAUCGGCCACACUGGGACUGAGACACGGCCCAGACUCCUACGGGAGGCAGCAGUGGUCAUAG